This 148-nucleotide ribosomal RNA is filed under the name Candidatus Anaerobiospirillum pullistercoris. Its description in RNAcentral is "partial 16S ribosomal RNA". It matches the Rfam family "Bacterial small subunit ribosomal RNA", at positions 1 to 140 of the family's 1533-position model. The record is from RNAcentral. Lineage: Bacteria; Pseudomonadati; Pseudomonadota; Gammaproteobacteria; Aeromonadales; Succinivibrionaceae.
UAAGUGAAGAGUUUGAUCAUGGCUCAGAUUGAACGCUGGCGGCAGGCCUAAUACAUGCAAGUCGAACGGUAACAGGAAAGAAGCUUGCUUCUUUUGCUGACGAGUAGCGGACGGGUGAGUAAGACCUAGGAAACUGCCUAGUAGUGGG